GCUGUCCUUACUGAGGCGUCGGCAUCAAAGAGGAAGCGCGCGGUAGGCACAUUGAAUUUGUAAAUUGUGAUUUGGCUGAUCGGUCCAGGAGACACUUGACUCAAGCUGUGAAUAAGAGGAAGAGUAAGCGUAAAACCUGCCGCCCCAGCAUCUUCUCUCUCCUCAGCCACGACUCGAAAUCCAACCCCCUACAGACGAGUUUCCAUGACAACACAAAGGCAGCAGACUGUUAGCAGGGGAUAAAGGGGUGACCAGAGUGAGGAGACAAGUGAAGCUUGAUCCACCAAAGAGAGGGAAGUCGGGUCGUUCUGAAGCGUUCUCCGUCUUGGGACAUCCACGGGCUGAUGGUCAGAGCGAUGG
Nematolebias whitei (Rio pearlfish) is the source of this 360-nucleotide long non-coding RNA. RefSeq lists it as uncharacterized. The record is from RefSeq and is a predicted model, not a curated record. Lineage: Eukaryota; Metazoa; Chordata; Actinopteri; Cyprinodontiformes; Rivulidae. The transcript is spliced from 4 exons.